AUCCACUCGGAUACUCGGUAUAACAUUUAAAGAGCCAGAAUGUUCAGGUUCACUCUUCUGCUCUGCUCAUCAGUGCUGCUGUAUAGCUGCUCAGCAAGUCCAUUUAAAUCAUGGAGAAAAGAUGCUGACCCAGCACUUCAGGAAACAAAGAUGUCUGAUGAAUUUGAUGAAAAGAUGACUCUGGGACUGAAGGAAGUCGAACCCCUAGAGCUGGAUCUGACCAAUUCUGAUAUUGACCCCAACAUGUUAAUAUGGAAAGCCAUCAAGCAGCUCAACCGUCAGAAAUACGAGAAGCCAGAGGAGGACAAAGACCAGCUCUAUCAUCCAUUUGAAGAACCCAGCAACAAGCAGCCUGACAGCUACUUCCAGCCCCAGCAGUUUGGUCAGGUCCAGCUGUAUCAAGAACCUGAGCAGGAUAUGGACAACCUCUAUCAUUCCAACUCUGAGAAGCAAGAUGCUUAUGAGAAAUCAGUGCAAACAGGUGCUGAACACAGAGCUGAAGAGUUUGUGUACUUGACCCCAGAAGAGGACAAAGAUGGCCUUUACCAUGAAAGCUUUCCAUCAGAGUCUAUAGUGGUGGCUCCAGUGAUGCAAGCUUUUGACAACGAGCCCAAGAGGGUUUACACCGAACCCGAAGAAGACCUGGAUAACCUAUAUCACAGUUAAAUAACAACAGUGCAGGAUGUAUUCAAGUAAAUUAAGUAAGACAAAGAUUUUAUGAAAUA
RNAcentral lists this long non-coding RNA (725 nucleotides) under Astyanax mexicanus (Mexican tetra). RNAcentral's name for it is "lncRNA (ENSAMXG00005018828.1)". Lineage: Eukaryota; Metazoa; Chordata; Actinopteri; Characiformes; Acestrorhamphidae. The record is from RNAcentral.